This 342-nucleotide ribosomal RNA is filed under the name uncultured eukaryote. RNAcentral's name for it is "bacterial SSU rRNA". It matches the Rfam family "Eukaryotic small subunit ribosomal RNA", at positions 111 to 414 of the family's 1831-position model. The record is from RNAcentral.
AAUAAUUUAUUCGGUGGAUGAAAGUGAUUUCUGAAAUGGAUAACCGUUGGAAAAGCUAGAGCUAAUACAUGCAACAGAGCAAUUUCUGCGGCCAAGUGGAAAUGUACAUAUUAGCAACAAAAAGAAUAUCCAAAAAAGUUUAAACAAAAGGAUGAAUGAUAAUAUUUCAAACAAAGCAUAUAGAACAGAUGAGAGAAGUAAUUCUCUGAUUUGGAUGCUAAACCGAUCAAAUUUCUGCCCUAUCAACUUUGGACGGUAACGUAGUGGGUUACGGUGGUGAUGACGGGUAACGGAGAAUGAGGGUUUGAUUCCGGAGAGGGAGCAUGAGAAAUGGCUACCACU